ACAGCAGUCGCCGCGGUAACACGUAGGUGGCAAGCGUUGUCCGGAAUUAUUGGGCGUAAAGGGCUCGCAGGCGGUUUCUUAAGUCUGAUGUGAAAGCCCCCGGCUCAACCGGGGAGGGUCAUUGGAAACUGGGAAACUUGAGUGCAGAAGAGGAGAGUGGAAUUCCACGUGUAGCGGUGAAAUGCGUAGAGAUGUGGAGGAACACCAGUGGCGAAGGCGACUCUCUGGUCUGUAACUGACGCUGAGGAGCGAAAGCGUGGGGAGCGAACAGGAUUAGAUACCCCUGUAGUCCCUGUCUCUUAUAC
This 305-nucleotide ribosomal RNA is filed under the name uncultured bacterium. RNAcentral's name for it is "partial 16S ribosomal RNA". It matches the Rfam family "Bacterial small subunit ribosomal RNA", at positions 508 to 807 of the family's 1533-position model. The record is from RNAcentral.